Oryzias melastigma (Indian medaka) is the source of this 1696-nucleotide long non-coding RNA. RefSeq lists it as uncharacterized. Lineage: Eukaryota; Metazoa; Chordata; Actinopteri; Beloniformes; Adrianichthyidae. The transcript has 2 exons. The record is from RefSeq and is a predicted model, not a curated record.
GUUAUGUGUGCAUUUAAACAGGAUUGUGAGAAAUUGCUUCUAUUUGAAACCAGCCCCCUGUGGUCGUUCGAGGAACUGCAAGAUUUACUUCAAACUCAAGAACGAGUAAAGAAAUGCUUCAAAGACUAAACCAACAUUUUUUAUUAGCAAUAAAUCCAGCAGCAUAGUAAGAAAUAUGAAGGAGGACGUGGAGGAGAAGAGUUUAGAGUCUUUGAUGCAGACGUGGAGGAUCACAGGGCAGAGAGAGAGAGGGCUGAGCGGAGGACAACAGUGAUGAUUAAGUGAAGGGGAGGAGGAGGAGCGCUCCGAUGGCCUUGGGGGAGCUGGUUUGAGGAGCCUCCGAGUGCAGAUCAGCUGUCUGCAGUCAUGAGCCCGCACCAUGACAUCAUCUGCCCCGUAAAGAGAAGCAGCGACCCCAGCUCUGGCUUUACAGUGAGGGCUAUUGUGAAAGUCCUGCACAACGAGAGCUGCGUCCGUCCUGUAUGUCUGUGAGAGGACUUCUGCAAACAAUCCCUCCUUUGCUGAGACAGGCUAUGCAACAUGAAAUUAGACUCCAUGAAAAGGCCUGGUCCCUGCAUUGCUCACUCAUCUAACUUUUUAAAAGCCCACGCAUGAGGUCAGCUGAGUGAAAGCAGCCGUUUCAGAGCAGCAGUCUUUUUCCUGCCGUUUAAAAAAAAUAUGAAAAAGGCUGCAGGCUGUGUUUUUACUCUUCAAAAUAGGUUUCAUUCGAUGCUUUUAAUUAGAUUCAUUUCUAAUGUCAAAGUUCACUGAACAAUAUGCAUCAAUUGGCUCCAGAAUUACCUUAAUUUAGCAUCUACUUAAGAUUUUUUUCAUAGCUGUAAAUAAAUUCACAGGUCAAAAGGGAAAGACGUGAGAUAAUCAUUAUAAAAAGACUUGUUUUCCUAUAUUUUUUGUGGUGGGAGGAUUAUUUUUCCAGCAGUUUUGAAGCAACAACAGCGUUUUCCACUUGUAAACACUGGUGAAAUGUUUAUUACAAACAUUUCCUGCAUUCUGGACUCAAACUAAAGGGCAGGAAUGGAAAAUCUGGGUUUAUCAGGCACUCGCAAAGUAAGAUUUGCACCAAAAGGGAAGAGAACACAAUUACCUGCAAAUGAGUAGAAACUAGUUUCUGUAUGUUCUGCAUUCUUCUUCUGUGUUUAACCCUAGAGCACUAUCGCUGGUGAUUUUCACCCCAGCAAAAGUAUUGAAGUAUGAUCUUCAAUAUGUUGCUUUUUUCUGAAUGUCAUGGGGCCCUGGAUGAAGUCUCACAUGUCCCAGGAAUGGGUAGACCAAAGCCAAAGUCACCAGAAUCAUUUUAUUUUGUAGGAUUUUUUCUGUCCUAAUUUUUCAGUAAUUUUCGAGCAUGUUUUUUGGAUCUUCCUAUGUUUUUAUUUUCCAUUUUGUUACAUAAACUAUGGUUGAAAAUAAAAGAAUGUCAUAUGUUGAUAUAUUUUCAAUUACAAAUACUAUUUAUUGGGCAUAUUAGAUCAGUUACAAAGGAUCUGGUAAAAGUUGUGCAUUUUUUUUUCAUAGUUUUCUAGGGUCAAAGGGCUCGAGUUUGUGCCAAGUUUUUACAUUUGGCUGUCAAAAUUAUUUUAAAGUCCCUCUCCAAUCAUUUUUUGAUCUAUUUUCAAAUAUUUCCCACUGGUCUUAUUAGGAUUUAAGGCAAUUUAAGCCAAAAAAGAAAAAAAAAAAA